AGAAUGAACGUUGGCGGCGUGGAUUAGGCAUGCAAGUCGAACGGACCUGGUUUUCGGAUCAGGUCAGUGGCGUAAGGGUGAGUAAUGCGACGGCAACCAACCCCAUGGUUGGGCAUAACCGCGGGAAGCUGCGGAUAAUACCCAGCGAUGUUCGUAUCGGGCAUCCGGUGCGAACCAAAGUUUCGGCGCCGUGGGACGGGCCGUCGUGGUAUUAGGUAGUUGGCGGGGUAAUGGCCCACCAAGCCUCUGAUGCCUACCGGGCGUGCGAGCGUGGCCCGGCACACUGGGACUGAGACACUGCCCAGACUCCUACGGGAGGCUGCAGUCGAGAAUCUUCGGCAAUGGGCGAAAGCCUGACCGAGCGACGCCGCGUGGAGGAUGGAAGGCCUUCGGGUUGUAAACUCCUGGUCGAGGGGGAGAAGGCGCAAGCUUGACCUAUCCCUGGAGAAGCACGGGCUAAGUCGUGCCAGCAGCCG
Molecule: ribosomal RNA, 476 nt
Filed under: uncultured bacterium
Lineage: Bacteria
Description: SSU rRNA
Rfam family: Bacterial small subunit ribosomal RNA
Source: RNAcentral